This 582-nucleotide ribosomal RNA is filed under the name Brachydiplax chalybea flavovittata. Its description in RNAcentral is "partial 12S ribosomal RNA". The record is from RNAcentral. Lineage: Eukaryota; Metazoa; Arthropoda; Insecta; Odonata; Libellulidae.
GAAUAAUUAAGUAUUGUUGGUUUAGCAGUUAAAUUUAUUUUAUCAUUUUAAUUUGAAAUUUUUAGGUGAAAUUUUAAUUUUGUUAAAAGUUGAUUUUUUGAAGCUGUGAAAUUUAUUUUUAAGACGAGGAUUAGAUACCCUUUUAUGUUAAAUGUAAAUGAAUUAACCAGGGUAGUAAUAGUUAUGUUCUUGAAACCCAAAGAAUUUGGCGGUAUUCUAUUCUUUUUAGAGGAGCCUGUCCUGUAAUUGAUAGUCCACGAUGGUGAGUUACUUAUUCUUGUAUUCAUUUUGUAUACCUCCGUCAUCAGAGUAUCUUUUUAGAGUGAAUGUUCUAAAUAUAUUAAAUAUAUUAUGUCAGGUCAAGGUGCAAUUUAUGGAUAAGUAGAGAUGGGCUACAAUAAAAUUGUUUAUAUGGAUUAUUAAUUUUAUUAUUAUUAUGAAGGUGGAUUUAAAAGUAAAUUCAUGUUCCUUCUUGAUUUGAUUUUAGCUCUAGAAUAUGCACACAUCGCCCGUCGCUCUUAUUUUAAAAUAAGAUAAGUCGUAACAUAGUAGGAGUACCGGAAGGUGUUCCUAGGAAGGUAA